GACCAUGUAGCUCAGUGGCUAGAGCAUCAUAUGGGGCGCAUUUUCCCAGGAGGUCCCAGGUUCAAUUCCUGGUGUGGUCA
Termitomyces sp. Mi166#008 is the source of this 80-nucleotide non-coding RNA. Lineage: Eukaryota; Fungi; Basidiomycota; Agaricomycetes; Agaricales; Lyophyllaceae. The record is from the annotation of a GenBank genome assembly.